ACCGGAAUCGCGUAAUGGUCUAAGCGCGUCGGUCUCCAAAACCGAAAGUCUGGGUUCAAAUCCUAGUUCCGGUG
This 74-nucleotide transfer RNA is filed under the name Alkalinema sp. CACIAM 70d. It matches the Rfam family "tRNA". Rfam says of the family: Transfer RNA (tRNA) molecules are approximately 80 nucleotides in length. Their secondary structure includes four short double-helical elements and three loops (D, anti-codon, and T loops). Lineage: Bacteria; Bacillati; Cyanobacteriota; Cyanophyceae; Leptolyngbyales; Leptolyngbyaceae. The record is from Rfam by way of RNAcentral.